RNAcentral lists this ribosomal RNA (775 nucleotides) under uncultured Neocallimastigales. RNAcentral's name for it is "partial large subunit ribosomal RNA". It matches the Rfam family "Eukaryotic large subunit ribosomal RNA", at positions 23 to 620 of the family's 3401-position model. The record is from RNAcentral. Lineage: Eukaryota; Fungi; Neocallimastigomycota; Neocallimastigomycetes; Neocallimastigales.
GAGAGAGACAUGCGCGCAUAUCAAUAAGCGGAGGAAAAGAAACUAACAAGGAUUCCCUUAGUAACGGCGAGUGAAGCGGGAAGAGCUCAAAUUUGAAAUCUUCAAGGUUUUACCUUGACGAAUUGUAGUUUAAAGAAGUGUUUUCUGUUGGAAGUUUUGGUAAAAGUUCUUUGGAAUAGGACAUCAUAGAGGGUGAGAAUCCCGUAUUUGACCAUUAUUUUCAGCUUUGUGAUACACUUUCAAAGAGUCGGAUUGUUUGGGAAUGCAGUCCAAAAUGGGUGGUAAAUUUCAUCUAAAGCUAAAUAUUGGCGAGAGACCGAUAGCGAACAAGUACCGUGAGGGAAAGAUGAAAAGAACUUUGAAAAGAGAGUUAAACAGUACGUGAAAUUGUCAAAAGGGAAGCGUUUGACACCAGUGUUGUUUUCUCGAAAAUCAAUUAAAAAUGGCUCGAUUUUGUAUUGCUUGAGACCUUAAAAGCUCACUGUACAUUUUUCGUGUCUUUUUUAAUGCACUUUUCGUUUAACAAGUCAACAUCAGUUUCUUUUGUUGUAAAAGGGUCAUUGGAAGGUGGCUUUCUUUUCGGAGAAAGUGUUUAUAGCCUUUGGCCUCUGCAAUCGGAGAGACUGAGGUCUGCAGCGUAGACUCUUCGGGGUUAGAUACAUUUGUGCUAAGUUAUAGCUUUUUAUAGACAACUUGUUGACUAUAAUUAGUCUUGUAGCUUACUCGCUUAUGCUAUUUUACCUACGCUUAGGAUGUUGAAGAUGUAGCACAUCAU